GAUGAAGAACGCAGCGAAAUGCGAUGAGUAAUGUGAAUUGCAGAAUUCAGUGAAUCAUCGAAUCUUUGAACGCACAUUGCGCCCGCCAGUAUUCUGGCGGGCAUGCCUGUUCGAGCGUCAUUUCAACCAUCAAGCCCCCGGCUUGUGUUGGGGACCUGCGGCUGCCGCAGGCCCUGAAAACCAGUGGCGGGCUCGCUAGUCACUCCGAGCGUAGUAAUACAUCUCGCUCAGGGCGUGCUGCGGGUUCCGGCCGUUAAAAAGCCUUAUUUACCCAAGGUUGACCUCGGAUCAGGUAGGAAGACCCGCUGAACUUAAGCAUAUCAAUAAGCGGAGGA
This 335-nucleotide unclassified non-coding RNA is filed under the name soil metagenome. RNAcentral's name for it is "partial contains 5.8S ribosomal RNA, internal transcribed spacer 2, and large subunit ribosomal RNA". The stretch from base 1 to 120 matches the Rfam family "5.8S ribosomal RNA", at positions 35 to 154 of the family's 154-position model. The record is from RNAcentral.